AUGCUGAUUUUACGGAAGAUAUUUAAAAGGGAGAACGCUCAGUCUGACACUGCUGUCAUCAUGUGUUUGCACAGAGAUAGCACAGGGUAUCGGUAUCUGUCUCUGUCUCUCUCCCUCUUCGCUGCUAUAUUUAUCACCCUCCUGGCCAUAAAAGGUCUGGACUGGGGCUCUGACAUUCCACUGACUGCAGGCAUUAUUUUUGUUCUGGACCUUCAAGUCCAGUCCCUACCCCUGGUCCUGACUACCUCUCCCUUUGCUGCAUUCAUUGCUGCUGUGUUUUUCUGUUGUUCAUCCAUUUCAGAGCUAUUCCAAUUGCCGUUGUUCUUCUGGGCCCUGUAUUUACAGUAUCUCUGAAGAAGCUGAACACAAGAUUUCAUUAGCUGGCAGUAAUGACUGGAAAAUACAGUCCUGUUAUAUCUACAAUCAGAAGAGUGCAGCAAA
RNAcentral lists this long non-coding RNA (441 nucleotides) under Anser cygnoides (Swan goose). Its description in RNAcentral is "lncRNA (ENSACDG00005003926.1)". The record is from RNAcentral. Lineage: Eukaryota; Metazoa; Chordata; Aves; Anseriformes; Anatidae.